CACGACACGAGCUGACGACAGCCAUGCACCACCUGUCACUGCGCUCCCGAAGGCACCCUCCCGUUUCCAGGAGGUUCGCAGGAUGUCAAACCCUGGUAAGGUUCUUCGCGUUGCAUCGAAUUAAACCACAUACUCCACCGCUUGUGCGGGCCCCCGUCAAUUCCUUUGAGUUUCACACUUGCGUGCGUACUCCCCAGGCGGAACACUUAACGCGUUGGCUACGACACCGAGGGGGUCGAUUCCCCCGACACCUAGCGUUCAUCGUUUACGGCCAGGACUACAGGGGUAUCUAAUCCCUUUCGCUCCCUUGGCUUUCGUCCAUGAGCGUCAGUUAUGGCCCAGCAGAGCGCCUUCGCCACUGGUGUUCUUCCCGAUAUCUACGCAUUUCACCGCUACACCGGGAAUUCCCUCUGCCCCUACCACACUCAAGCCCUGUAGUUUCCAUCGCUUAAAUGGAGUUAAGCUCCACGCUUUAACGACAGACUUACAGGGCCGCCUGCGGACGCUUUACGCCCAAUAAUUCCGGAUAACGCUUGCCACUCCCGUAUUACCGCGGCUGCUGGCACGGAAUUAGCCGUGGCUUAUUCCUCAAGUACCGUCAGUUCUUCUUCCUUGAGAAAAGAGGUUUACAGCCCAGAGGCCUUCAUCCCUCACGCGGCGUUGCUCCGUCAGGCUUUCGCCCAUUGCGGAAAAUUCCCCA
Molecule: ribosomal RNA, 700 nt
Filed under: uncultured cyanobacterium
Lineage: Bacteria; Bacillati; Cyanobacteriota
Description: partial 16S ribosomal RNA
Source: RNAcentral